CAGAGGGGGACAACAGUUGGAAACGACUGCUAAUACCGCAUACGAUCUAAUCUCGGCAUCGAGGAUAGAUGAAAGGUGGCCUCUACAUGUAAGCUAUCACUGAAGGAGGGGAUUGCGUCUGAUUAGCUAGUUGGAGGGGUAACGGCCCACCAAGGCGAUGAUCAGUAGCCGGUCUGAGAGGAUGAACGGCCACAUUGGGACUGAGACACGGCCCAGACUCCUACGGGAGGCAGCAUG
RNAcentral lists this ribosomal RNA (237 nucleotides) under uncultured bacterium. RNAcentral describes it as "partial 16S ribosomal RNA". It matches the Rfam family "Bacterial small subunit ribosomal RNA", at positions 134 to 353 of the family's 1533-position model. The record is from RNAcentral.